This is a non-coding RNA of Trichonephila clavata, 70 nucleotides long. The record is from the annotation of a GenBank genome assembly. NCBI's taxonomy places the organism in Eukaryota, Metazoa, Arthropoda, Arachnida, Araneae, Nephilidae.
CCAAAUAGUAUAGUGGUUAUGACAUUCGAUCUGUAAUCGAAUUGGCUUGGGUUCGAAUCCCGAAUAAGGA